GGUGCUUGUUUGAGAAUUCUUUCAAUUUUUCUUUCUUAUUUUUCUUUUAUUUUUAAAUGUUUACUGUAUGAAAACCCCAUCUAAAAACCACCGAUGGUGGUGCUCUUAGGACUUCUCUCAUUAGGGAGCCGACAUAACUCCAUCUUUAAGCUACUAUGAGUAUGGGCCAUUGCCUUGCUGCGGCUUAUCCAUGAGAAUAGACAUCUGGGACGCGUCUUGUUUGGUUUAAAAUAUAUUUUCCAACAUUUUUUUUGUCACGAUAACAUAUUUAACAUAUGCAUAUUGAUUAACAGAGAGAUGAAUGAGAAUUUUAAACAUUAUAAAUGUCAAGAGGGCAUAAAAGAAAACAAAUGGGAGAUUUCCUCCUAUAAUCUUUGGCGAUUAAGUAAGAAUAAACUUAUCAAAAAAACACCUUGGUUGGAAGGUCAUCUUUGGCCGGCUUCAUAGCAACCUGAAUACGGUAACAACCUUGUGAAGAUGAUGGACCUAAAAACUGAGACACUCGAGACCAAUCUCCUGAAAUUAUAUGGGAGACGACAUGAUAUGCUUUGUUCUGAUUGACACGGUAUCCACGUACCAUGGUUUGUUUGACUAUCUCAAAUAUUGUCUCCAUCCCUUAUUUUUAUUGAUGUUAAUAGUUAUGCACUCGAUCCAAAUAAUUAACUGAUAGAUCAAAUAGAAUAAAUAAGCAAAUUAUCAAUGCACCUAAUAAUUCACGUAUGUGUGGCCCAGUUUAAGAUUUCC
Molecule: long non-coding RNA, 744 nt
Filed under: Brassica rapa (field mustard)
Lineage: Eukaryota; Viridiplantae; Streptophyta; Magnoliopsida; Brassicales; Brassicaceae
Description: long non-coding RNA (BRAP_LNC006679)
Source: RNAcentral